GGGUUGUGAGGUUAAGUGACUAAGCGUACACGGUGGAUGCCUAGGCAGUCAGAGGCGAUGAAGGGCGUGCUAAUCUGCGAAAAGCGUCGGU
RNAcentral lists this ribosomal RNA (91 nucleotides) under Serratia marcescens. RNAcentral describes it as "partial 23S ribosomal RNA". It matches the Rfam family "Bacterial large subunit ribosomal RNA", at positions 1 to 82 of the family's 2925-position model. Lineage: Bacteria; Pseudomonadati; Pseudomonadota; Gammaproteobacteria; Enterobacterales; Yersiniaceae. The record is from RNAcentral.